Molecule: ribosomal RNA, 449 nt
Filed under: uncultured bacterium
Lineage: Bacteria
Description: partial 16S ribosomal RNA
Rfam family: Bacterial small subunit ribosomal RNA
Source: RNAcentral
UCCAGACUCCUACGGGAGGCAGCAGUGGGGAAUAUUGGGCAAUGGGCGCAAGCCUGACCCAGCAACGCCGCGUGAAGGAAGAAGGCUUUCGGGUUGUAAACUUCUUUUAAGAGGGAAGAGCAGAAGACGGUACCUCUUGAAUAAGCCACGGCUAACUACGUGCCAGCAGCCGCGGUAAUACGUAGGGGGCAAGCGUUAUCCGGAUUUACUGGGUGUAAAGGGAGCGUAGACGGCAGUGCAAGUCCGGAGUGAAAGCCCGGGGCUCAACCCUGGGACUGCUCUGGAAACUGCAAAGCUGGAGUGCGGGAGGGGCAGGCGGAAUUCCUGGUGUAGCGGUGAAAUGCGUAGAUAUCAGGAGGAACACCGGCGGCGAAGGCGGCCUGCUGGACCGUAACUGACGUUGAGGCUCGAAAGCGUGGGGAGCAAACAGGAUUAGAUACCCUGGUACG